Long non-coding RNA from Pipistrellus kuhlii (Kuhl's pipistrelle), 3237 nucleotides. RefSeq lists it as uncharacterized. The record is from RefSeq and is a predicted model, not a curated record. The transcript has 2 exons. Lineage: Eukaryota; Metazoa; Chordata; Mammalia; Chiroptera; Vespertilionidae.
ACCGUCCAAAGAUUUGAUAUUUGCUAACCAUUUACUCAACAAAUAUUUAUUCAAACAUUUAAUAGGUUCUACUCUUUUGUAUUUAUUAGAAUAUUCUAUUAGCUGUUAUAAAUAGACCCUAAAAUGUAUAUUAGCUCAAACACAAUACAUGUUUACGUGUACAUUUUGUUCAUAUAACAAUCCAAGGAAUGUGUGUUUGAUCACUGUGGUAGUUUCCCUCCUAAUCUAUAAAUGAUAGAAGCCUGGUGCAUGAAAAUCAUCCACUCUGGAGUGGGGGAGGGUGGUCCUUCAGCCCGGCCUGUGCCCUCUCGCAGUCAGGGAGCCCUCUGGGGAUGUCCAACUGAAGGCUUAGGCCUGCACCCCAUGGACGUUCGUAGUGCUGCCACUGAAGUGGGAGAGCCUCCCACCACCACCACUGCACUUGCCAGCCAUGAGCCUGGCUCAGGGCUUCUGGCUAAGUGGCGUUCCCCCUGUGGGAGCGCAUUGACUACCAGGGGGCAGUUCCUGCUUUGAGUGUCUACCCCCUGGUGGUCAGUGCUCGUCAGAGUGAUUGGUCGUUCUCCCAUUAGGUCGAUUUGCAUAUUACCCUUUAAUUAUAUAGAAUUGGAGGGGUAUGCUUGGGAGGUUUUAAUGAGGCAGCCUAGAUUUGGGAUAAUUACAUAUACUUUUGCAGAAAUUUAGUCACAUGGCUACACUAAUUGUAAGGGAGGUUAAGAAUGUUAUCUCGCUAAAUACUCUAGGAGAAAAGUAAACUAAUUUUGGUGACUAGUUAACAGUCUCAGCUACCUGUCUAGCCAUCACUGUUCUGAUUCCUUCAAUGAAAUGGCUUCAGCUUGGUUUGACAUGAGUUCUUAGUCUGUGUCAGAUUUUGUACUAUUUGUUGGUAUAAAUGAGGGAAAUAGACAAAGUACCUUUCUUCCAGCUGAGUGCUGUCUGAUAGAAUAACAAAGGAAAUGUAGGACCAUUUUCUCCCAGAAAGCUUUUUUCUUAGAGAAUAGGACAUACAGGAGUAAGUCUUGUUAUUUAGUGCUAUAAAUGAAAGCUGUUCACAGUAAGUGACCUGAGAAGGAAUUUAACAAUUGCUAUAACGUUUUCAUCAAUCUCCUUGUUGCUUAAGUUUUCUCAUCUGUGUAAUUGUAGGGUAUGGCUGGCACCUACCCUAGAACUGAUAUUAGGGUAAAGUGAGAUAUUAUUACAUAGAAAACACUUAGCGUUAACCUUUUGAAUGGUGGUGAUUAUUAUAUACAUGACCUCAGUGAUUUUCAGCCAGUAUGCUGCAGCACCCUAAUGUGCCACAAGAAUUAUAAAUCAUGUAAUACCUGACUAUUCAGUCCAAUGCACUGACCUCUUUUCCCUUAGAUUGUCCAAUAGCCAUCUGGUGUGAAUGCCCUGUCUUAAACCAUAACUAUAUAGGUUAUAUAAUAUAACUGCAUUUUAUUGGUUACGUUGUAUAAUAAAGUUGCAUCCGAUUGGUUAAUGCUUGGUACCAGAAAUUCUUACAUACAAGUAUAGGUACCUGAUUUUUUAAAAAAAGUCACUUGGAGCAAAAAAGGUAGGUAAUUACCAUUAAUAUUUUUUAUGUAAAUCAAAGUUAUACUUUUUUAUUAUAUUGGCAAAAAGUCUCCAGAAUUUUAGUAAUAAGUUCAUAUGAUUCAUGAAGUGAAAAAGGUUGAAAAAUCAUACAUUAUCUCAUUUGAUCAUCACUAUUCCUUACAUAAUAUCUUAGCCCUAUUUUAAAAAGCAGAUUUAUGUUUAGAGAAGUAAUUCAUUUACUCAGCUUCACACCCACCAGUAAGGAAAUGCCAGGAUUAGGAUUUGUACCUGGGUUCUGUCUGACUUUCUAGGGUCAGUCUUCUCUUGUACGUUGUGCUGCCUGGUAAAGACUGCAGCAGUGUGGUGCUGGGCCUGCGGGGAAACAAAGAGUGGCCAAGGCUUGGUUUGACGGGGAAGAUGAAGACCAUUCCCGGUGGAGGGGAAGCAUGAACAGGUGCUUCAAGUUGAGACUGGACAGGGAUAAUAAUACAAGCUUGGCUAUUAUGUGUUAAGAACUAUUAGUAAUAGCAGUGCCAGCCUGAGGACAUUGACUUUAUUUGUAGGAAUUUUUAGAAACAUUUUUGGGCAGAGGAGUGGCAAGUGGAGUGGCUAUUUUGGGAAGACCGAUUUGGCAGGGGUAUGUAGAAUGGAUUGGAGUUGGGAACUGGUGUUAUUAGCCCAGUGCACUGGCAGUGGUCCAGUUGUGAGGUGGUAAAAUCCUGGAAGGAAUAUUGUGAAGAGGAAGGGAAAUGAGCCAGAAGCCACUUAGGAGGAGCUGAAGAAGUUGUUUAGAGUAUAGCAUUUGAUAUAGAUCAAUAAGCAUUUAUUAGCAGGCCACAUAGUUCUUUUUAUUUAAGUUGUGAAUUAUGCUUGAAAUAAAAGCUAGGAGCAGAAAACUAGUAGCUGACUCCAUUCCUUACUGAUAAGCCCUGUAAUCAAGUGGUGUGCAUUCUCUUAGGACAGAAGUAGCUAUUCUGGGGCGUAUGUGUGUGAAUAAAAAAUAUCUGUGCAGGGAGGGAAUGAAAAUGUGCCCUUACAGAGGUGACAAACUCAGAUUUAGGUAUGGGUGAUACAAAGAGAGACUGUUGGAAGGAGACAGAAUUUGUGGGAGAGGAGAUAUUUGUCAGUGAUGUUGGGGUCAGCAAAAUACGGUGCCAUUGGUAUACAAGAGAUGCCACUUGAAGUUUUUUAAAACCAUCUAGUUAGAAAUAAAUAAAUAAAAUUCUGAGGAAAGAAGCAAGGGUGAGCUAGAUCUACUUCAUUUCAUACAUUUGAUAUGUUUAUGAAACGUCACUGUAAAUCUGGUUUAUGUAAAUCAGAAUCUGUUGAGCUCACUGUAGGGAAGUUUUAGAGAAAAUUGCUGAGAGAGUCCUUGUGGAGCGGAGGCCUUUGGGAAUGAAAUGAUCUCUGCUUCGGUUUGUAACUCCAUAUGCCUGACCUCAUGAUGGUCCUGAAAAAUACUCUUAUGUUAGUAAAUUUGGACCAAAAGUUAAACAGUAUUUGGAAGGAGAAAUGGAAUUUCUGAUUUCAAAUAAAAAGGAAUAGUGUCAUCAGCAUUAAAAAAAAAAAAAAAAUAGGUUAGUGUGCAGAAGCUUUUUCCCCUUUGAAGAUAAGAAAAAGAAGACAACUGAAAAAUCAUGCAGUGUUUCUAUGAGCUGUGCCCCCUCCCAUCCUACAUCCACACACACCUCUGUUAUACCUGGA